RNAcentral lists this ribosomal RNA (301 nucleotides) under uncultured bacterium. RNAcentral describes it as "partial 16S ribosomal RNA". It matches the Rfam family "Bacterial small subunit ribosomal RNA", at positions 509 to 809 of the family's 1533-position model. The record is from RNAcentral.
CAGCAGCCGCGGGAAUACAGAGGGUGCGAGCGUUAAUCGGAUUUACUGGGCGUAAAGCGUGCGUAGGCGGCUUCUUAAGUCGGAUGUGAAAUCCCUGAGCUUAACUUAGGAAUUGCAUUCGAUACUGGGAAGCUAGAGUAUGGGAGAGGAUGGUAGAAUUCCAGGUGUAGCGGUGAAAUGCGUAGAGAUCUGGAGGAAUACCGAUGGCGAAGGCAGCCAUCUGGCCUAAUACUGACGCUGAGGUACGAAAGCAUGGGGAGCAAACAGGAUUAGAUACCCCGGUAGUCCCUGUCUCUUAUAA